Molecule: transfer RNA, 90 nt
Filed under: Rubrobacter taiwanensis
Lineage: Bacteria; Bacillati; Actinomycetota; Rubrobacteria; Rubrobacterales; Rubrobacteraceae
Description: tRNA-Sec
Rfam family: Selenocysteine transfer RNA
Source: RNAcentral
GGAAUGCGUGGGCCUGGUGGCCCGGCCGGUCUUCAAAACCGGCAGGCGGCCGAGACCCGGCCGUUGGUGGUUCGAUUCCCCCGCAUUCCG